GACGAACGCUGGCGGCGUGCCUAAUACAUGCAAGUAGAACGCUGAAGGAGGAGCUUGCUCUUCUGGAUGAGUUGCGAACGGGUGAGUAACGCGUAGGUAACCUGCCUGGUAGCGGGGGAUAACUAUUGGAAACGAUAGCUAAUACCGCAUAAGAGUAGAUGUUGCAUGACAUUUACUUAAAAGGUGCAAUUGCAUCACUACCAGAUGGACCUGCGUUGUAUUAGCUAGUUGGUGGGGUAACGGCUUACCAAGGCGACGAUACAUAGCCGACCUGAGAGGGUGGUCGGCCACACUGGGACUGAGACACGGCCCAGACUCCUACGGGAGGCAGCAGUAGGGAAUCUUCGGCAAUGGACGGAAGUCUGACCGAGCAACGCCGCGUGAGUGAAGAAGGUUUUCGGAUCGUAAAGCUCUGUUGUAAGGGAAGAACGAGUGUGAGAGUGGAAAGUUCACACUGUGACGGUAUCUUACCAGAAAGGGACGGCUAACUACGUG
Molecule: ribosomal RNA, 495 nt
Filed under: uncultured bacterium
Lineage: Bacteria
Description: partial 16S ribosomal RNA
Rfam family: Bacterial small subunit ribosomal RNA
Source: RNAcentral